This 482-nucleotide ribosomal RNA is filed under the name uncultured bacterium. Its description in RNAcentral is "bacterial SSU rRNA". It matches the Rfam family "Bacterial small subunit ribosomal RNA", at positions 30 to 507 of the family's 1533-position model. The record is from RNAcentral.
AUUGAACGCUGGCGGAAUGCUUUACACAUGCAAGUCGAACGGUAACAGGUCUUCGGAUGCUGACGAGUGGCGAACGGGUGAGUAAUAUAUCGGAACGUGCCCAGUCGUGGGGGAUAACGUAGCGAAAGUUACGCUAAUACCGCAUACGAUCUACGGAUGAAAGCGGGGGAUCGCAAGACCUCGCGCGAUUGGAGCGGCCGAUAUCAGAUUAGGUAGUUGGUGGGGUAAAGGCUCACCAAGCCAACGAUCUGUAGCUGGUCUGAGAGGACGACCAGCCACACUGGAACUGAGACACGGUCCAGACUCCUACGGGAGGCAGCAGUGGGGAAUUUUGGACAAUGGACGCAAGUCUGAUCCAGCCAUUCCGCGUGCAGGAUGAAGGCCCUCGGGUUGUAAACUGCUUUUGUACGGAACGAAAAGGCUCUUCCUAAUACGAGGGGCUCAUGACGGUACCGUAAGAAUAAGCACCGGCUAACUACGUG